Molecule: transfer RNA, 74 nt
Filed under: Diacronema lutheri
Lineage: Eukaryota; Haptophyta; Pavlovophyceae; Pavlovales; Pavlovaceae
Also listed under: 1 other name
Description: tRNA-Pro
Rfam family: tRNA
About the family: Transfer RNA (tRNA) molecules are approximately 80 nucleotides in length. Their secondary structure includes four short double-helical elements and three loops (D, anti-codon, and T loops).
Source: RNAcentral
CGGGAUAUGGCGCAGUCAGGUAGCGUGGUUGCUUUGGGUGCAAUUUGUCGGGGGUUCAAAUCCUCCUAUCCCGU